GAGGGGAUAGCUUGGUGGUAGAGUGUCAGCUUAGCAUGCAUGAGGUCCUGGGUUCAAUCCCCAGUCCCUCUG
RNAcentral lists this transfer RNA (72 nucleotides) under Camelus bactrianus (Bactrian camel). It matches the Rfam family "tRNA". From Rfam's summary of the family: Transfer RNA (tRNA) molecules are approximately 80 nucleotides in length. Their secondary structure includes four short double-helical elements and three loops (D, anti-codon, and T loops). RNAcentral also lists the same sequence under 2 other names. Lineage: Eukaryota; Metazoa; Chordata; Mammalia; Artiodactyla; Camelidae. The record is from Rfam by way of RNAcentral.